This 669-nucleotide ribosomal RNA is filed under the name uncultured archaeon. Its description in RNAcentral is "bacterial SSU rRNA". It matches the Rfam family "Archaeal small subunit ribosomal RNA", at positions 208 to 879 of the family's 1478-position model. The record is from RNAcentral.
GAUGGGGCUGCGGCCGAUCAGGCCGUUGGCGAGGUAACGGCUCACCAAACCUUUGACCGGUACGGGCCAUGAGAGUGGUAGCCCGGAGAUGGACACUGAGAUAGGGGUCCAGGCCCUACGGGGCGCAGCAGGCGCGAAAACUCCACACUGUACGCAAGUACGAUGGGGUUACCUCGAGUGUAGUCUGUAAAAGAUUGCUUUUCCAUAGAGUAAUAUCCUGUGGGAAUAAGAGGGGGGCAAGACUGGUGUCAGCCGCCGCGGUAACACCAGCCCCUCGAGUGGUAGGGACUUUUAUUUGGCCUAAAGCGUUCGUAGCCGUCUGUAACCGUUGCCCGUUAAAUCCAGCGUCUCAAGCGUUGGACUGCGGGCGAUACCUUACAGAUUGAGGGUGGGAUAGGUAAGCGGUAUUUCUGGGGUAGGGGCGAAAUCCUUUGAUCCCAGGAGGACCACCAGUGGCGAAGGCUGCUUACUAGAACACGCCUGACGGUCAGGAACGAAAGCUGGGGUAGCGAACCGGAUUAGAUACCCGGGUAGUCCCAGCUGUAAACGAUGCGCGCUAGGUGUUGGGUCGGCCAUGCGCCGCCCCAGUGCCGCAGGGAAGCCGUUAAGCGCGCCGCCUGGGGAGUACGGCCGCAAGGCUGAAACUUAAAGGAAUUGGCGGGGGAGCAC